Molecule: long non-coding RNA, 201 nt
Filed under: Phasianus colchicus (ring-necked pheasant)
Lineage: Eukaryota; Metazoa; Chordata; Aves; Galliformes; Phasianidae
Description: lncRNA (ENSPCLG00000016495.1)
Source: RNAcentral
AUGGUGACAAUAAUGGGGACAUUGGAAUGGGGGACAAAAUGGUGACAUUGGAAUGGGGGACAAAAUGGGGGACAAAAUGGGGACAUGGAUGGGGACAAAAUGGUGGCACUAAAAUGGAAGACAAAAUGGGGGACAAAAUGGUGACAUUGGAAUUGGGGACAAAAUGGUGGCAUUGAAAUGGGGACAAAAUGGGGACAUAAA